Molecule: ribosomal RNA, 468 nt
Filed under: uncultured bacterium
Lineage: Bacteria
Description: partial 16S ribosomal RNA
Rfam family: Bacterial small subunit ribosomal RNA
Source: RNAcentral
GACGAACGCUGGCGGCGUGCUUAACACAUGCAAGUCGAACGGAAAGGCCCUGCGUUUGUGGGGUUCUUGUGUGGCGAACGGGGGAGUAACACGUGAGUAAACUGCCCUUGACUUUGGGAUAACUUCAGGAAACUGGGGCUAAUACCGGAUAGGAGCUCCUGCUGCAUGGUGGUGGUUGGAAAGUUUCGGCGGUUGGGGAUGGACUCGCAGCUUAUCAGCUGGUUUGUGUGGUAGUGGUUUACCAAGGCUUUGACGGGUAGCCGGCCUGAGAGGGUGACCGGCCACAUUGGGACUAAGAUACGGACCAGACUCCUACGGGAGGCAGUGGUGGGGAGUCUUGCGCAGUGGGCGGACGCGUGAUGCAGCAACGCCGGGUGCGGGAUGACGGCCUUCGGGUUAUAAACCGCUUUCGCCUGUGACGAGGCGUGAGUGACGGUAAUGAGUAAAGAAGCACCGGCUAACUACGUG